UAAUACGGAGGGUGCAAGCGUUAUCCGGAUUUACUGGGUUUAAAGGGUGCGUAGGUGGAUAGAUAAGUCAGCGGUGAAAUCUCCGGGCUUAACUCGGAAACUGCCAUUGAUACUAUCUGUCUUGAAUAUCCUGGAGGUGAGCGGAAUAUGUCAUGUAGCGGUGAAAUGCUUAGAUAUGACAUAGAACACCUAUUGCGAAGGCAGCUCACUACGGGAUUAUUGACACUGAGGCACGAAAGCGUGGGGAUCAAACAGGAUUAGAUACCCUGGUAGUCCACGCCCUAAACGAUGGAUACUCGACAUCAGCGAUACACUGUUGGUGUCUGAGCGAAAGCAUUAAGUAUCCCACCUGGGAAGUACGACCGCAAGGUUG
Molecule: ribosomal RNA, 373 nt
Filed under: uncultured bacterium
Lineage: Bacteria
Description: bacterial SSU rRNA
Rfam family: Bacterial small subunit ribosomal RNA
Source: RNAcentral